AUGUGUGCGAUGCCAGGAAAGGUCAGGAGAUGAUUUACUGAACAUUUAUGGAGGCUUUAUCUUCAGUCCUUGUCACCAAGUCGGGCGAUGCUUCAUAGUGGGUCGCCAAACAGACGUGGAGAAAGAAAGAGCGUGACAACGGCGCAACCCCUGAGUUCCGCAAUGACACAGUCUUUAACCAGCCCAACUCUUGGCAGGUACAGAACACUAAAGGACCAUUUUAUUUCUAAAUGAGUCUGAAUGGCGCACCACAAAGACUGGAAAUGCUGCUGCCCUUUCAUUUUAAAUGGCUAUCGGGUUCAUCCUGCACAUAAAACCCAUCACAGAAAAUGAAUAUAAGCGGUUGGAGAAGAGACUGGAGAUGUGAACUGUCCCUCUGGAACGGGCUGCCAUUAAGUUUACUAAAAAUGUCUGAUGGUUUCGCCCAGACAGUUAGGAGAGCUGUGUCUGAACGGGAUCCAAAUCUCUGAUGACCACAGCUGCUCCUGGAGCCUUCCAUUAGAGGUCUUCUAAAUGGGCCCGUAGAGAAAAUCCGGAGAUCCGCAUCCACAUGCAGUGGCCAAAGGCCUGCAAGCAUGCCUUCACAUUUGUGUUCGUGGUUUGAAGAUGAGGAUGUGCCGUUUGAUCUGAAUUUGUGCUGAAAUACCAUGGAGUUUAAUCGGACGUACUGCCAAAGAUGUCGAUAUAAAAAGUGAUUCAAUGGAAUGAUUUGGACCAUGGGGCAGCCCUAAAAAUGGCCAACUCCCUGGACAGUGCACUGACGAAUUGAAACACAACCAGAACCAGAGACAACAGAUCAAUUAAGAACCCUGGUGGAUCCAAUCAAGGAAUCACACGAAUGGCUGAAUAUGGUGGACUUGUGACAGAUCAGGGCAUUCAGGCUGGUGACAUUCCUCCUGGCGAGCAGAUCCAUCCUGGGCCGGGGGUGAAAAAUGCAGCGCCGCGCUGCUGCUCAGCUGCAGAUGAAUGGAGCUAUCUGUCUUGUCACGAGGGGUCGGCGGGAGAGGUUACAGCCCAACUGUACCUGGUCUCCGGUGCUGACGCCGGCACGCCGCUUCCCUUUACAAGGGAAGGAACAGGGAAAAAAGAAGAGCGGGAGAGAGAGAGAAACAAAUCCUGCCCCAUCAAGCACUUCUUCAGUCCCUCCAGAGCCCAUCUCACUUCCCAUCAUCCCGCGGUCCUGCUGCCCUGAGCGCAGGCUUUGACACAUCUAUAUGUUUUUCCUUCUGACCUUUCAACGUCCUUUCUGUCAGCGCCUGUAAACCAUAAGCUGAUGUAUGAGGGCAAUUUUUAGCGGUGCCACUUGUAUCUGAGUGAUUGCGCACACUUUACAUUUGGGGGGCCUGCCACCCUGCCACCUUCUCAACAUCUCUUUAUUUGCUUUGCUUGAGAUUGAAGCAGAGAAACUGAAGGGAAGGAAUAAAAAGAGUGGAUGGGGAGGGGACAGUGGAGCCCAUUCUCAACAACCUCUGGGCAACAGGCCUGCACUUUAUCAGUCCGGCGAGCUCAGCCCUCAGGCCAAGCCUGACCAAUCACACCUUGGAAACACGUGCUUGAACAAACACGUACAUCAGUGCGACAGACUCCUGUACAAAGGGGUGAAUGGAGGGAACUGAGAACUGCUAAACUUUCAUUGGAGUGCUGAUCUUACAUAUUAAUGUCUAAUUUUAAUACCUGUAAUUCAGGGGUUUUCAAACAGGGGACGAAAGGGGUUAUAUUGGUGGUCAGAAUUUUUUUUUUUUUUUUAAAUAUAUGAAAUAUGUGCAAUAAAAAUAAAUAAAUAAAUAAAUACAUUUAAGAUAUAUAUUUUAUGGAAAGAAAAAUAUUUUACAUAAUGUUUUUUUUUUAUGUUAAAGUUAUAAUUUAGCAGAUAUUAUUUAAAACCUUCAUGCAAAUUUUAAUACUUUAAAAAAAAAUACAGUAAUUCUGAUUUGUUUACUGCUUUCUGAAGACUGUCUGAAGUUGGAAAUCAUGGGAAAUCAUAUUUAUUGUUAAAAACAAAUUUACUUGAAAAUGUUUCUUUUUAAGUUUAUGCAUGUAAAAUUAUUCUCAUAAUGGAUAGAAAAAAUAAUCUAUUAAUUAAAAAAGUUUUUCAGAUAAUUUUUAAUUAUUUACAGGCUUGUAGUUAUUAUAGUCUAAAAAAAAAAAAAUUGAACUUAUUUUAUUUCAUCUAGAUGCCAAGGCAACAUUUCUCAUUUUAAUUUAAUUUAACUUAUACUAAAAUAACCAAAACUAAAGCUAAAAAUUAAUAGUACUAGUAAUAAUAAUAAUUCAAAAACUAUACAGACCAGAAAGAAACAAAAAGAAAGAUUUUACAUUUUUGUUUAAGUGUUAAUUUAGCAGAUAUUAUUUAAAACCUUCAUGCAAAUUUUAAUACUUUAAAAAUAAUACAGUAAUACUGAUUUGUUUACUGCUUUCUGAAGACUGUAUGAAGUUGGAAAUCAUGGGAAAUCAUAUUUAUUGUUUAAAAACAAAUUUACUUGAAAAUGUUUCUUUUUAGGUUUAUGCAUGUAAAAUUAUUCUCAUAUGGAUAGAAUGGAUAGAAAAAAAUCUGUUAACUUAAAAGUUUUUCAGAUAAGUUUUAAUUAUUUACAGGUUUGUAGUAGUUAUUAUAAUCUAAAAAAAAAAA
Long non-coding RNA from Labeo rohita (rohu), 2629 nucleotides. RefSeq lists it as uncharacterized. The transcript is spliced from 8 exons. The record is from RefSeq and is a predicted model, not a curated record. Lineage: Eukaryota; Metazoa; Chordata; Actinopteri; Cypriniformes; Cyprinidae.